UUGCCAUUAUUACUAUUGAUACUGUGCAUGUAACAUUUAAUGUGGUAUGGUGAUCAGUACUCUUUGGUGGUAGUUUUGUUUUAAGAGACAAGGUGUCACUGUGUUGCCCAGGCUAGUCUCAAUCUCCUCGACUCAAGUGAUCCUCCCCAUCAGCCUCCCAGGUACCUGGGAUUACAGGUGCCUGGCUUCUGUGGUUGCUUAAUAAGUCCAUGUUGAAUGAAUGAAGAGAACCAGUUCAGUAAAUUCAGUCAGGUGAUGUCUGUCAUUAGAUGAACCAUCGUUGUAGGUUAGGUAUAGAAAAGGCUGAUGAGAAAUUCUGUAGAUGUGGCUUUUUGGAACCACCUGUAAAUAUCUUCCUAUAAUUAUGUAGGAAGCUACCUGUAAAUAUUUUCCUAGAAAUAAAUAUGUGUAUUUUUUCCUAGAAAUACUUUCUUAGCUGCAAGUACGAUUUUAACUAUAUGCAUGCAGUUAUAUUCAGUGACUUUAUUUUUCCUCACGUUCCUGUUAUUAGAUUUCUGACUUACACAAGAGCCUAGAACAGAAAGAAAGUAAAAUCCAGCAGCUAGCAGAAACUAUAAAGAAACUUGAAAAGGAGUUCAAGCAGUUUGCACAGUUGUUUGGCAAAAAUGGAAGCUUCCUCCCAAACAUCCAGGUUUUUGCCAGUCACAUUGACAAGUCAGCUUGGCUAGAAGCUCAAGUGCAUCAAUUAUUACAAAUGGUUAACCAGCAACAAAAUAAAUUUGACCUGAGGCCUUUGAUGGAAGCAGUUGAUACAGUGAAACAGAAAAUUACCCUGCUAGAAAACAAUGAUCAAAGAUUAGCUGUUUUAGAAGAGGAAACUAACAAACAUGAUACCCACAUUAAUAUUCAUAAAGCACAGCUGAGUAAAAAUGAAGAGCGAUUUAAACUGCUGGAGGGUACUUGCUAUAAUGGAAAGCUCAUUUGGAAGGUGACAGAUUACAAGAUGAAGAAGAGAGAGGCGGUGGAUGGGCACACAGUGUCCAUCUUCAGCCAGUCCUUCUACACCAGCCGCUGUGGCUACCGGCUCUGUGCUAGAGCAUACCUGAAUGGGGAUGGGUCUGGGAAGGGGACACACCUGUCCCUAUACUUUGUGGUCAUGCGAGGAGAGUUUGACUCACUGUUGCAGUGGCCAUUCAGGCAGAGGGUGACCCUGAUGCUUCUGGACCAGAGUGGCAAAAAGAACAUUAUGGAGACCUUCAAGCCUGACCCCAAUAGCAGCAGCUUUAAAAGACCUGAUGGGGAGAUGAACAUUGCAUCUGGCUGUCCCCGCUUUGUGGCUCAUUCUGUUUUGGAGAAUGCCAAGAACGCCUACCUUAAAGAUGACACUCUGUUCUUGAAAGUGGCCGUGGACUUAACUGACCUGGAGGAUCUCUAGUCACUGUUAUGGGGUGAUAAGAGGACUUCUUGGGGCCAGAACUGUGGACGAGAGCACAUUUGAUUAUCAUAUUGACCUGGAUUUAGACUCAAAGCACAUUUGUAUUUGCCUUUUUCCUUAACGUUUGAAGUCAGUUUAAAACUUCUGAAGUGCUGUCUUUUUACAUUUUACUCUGUCCCAGUUUGAAACUUAAAACUCUUAGAAUAUUCUCUUAUUAUUUAUAUUUUUAUAUUUCUUGAAAGAUGGUAAGUUUCUUGAAGUUUCCGGGGUGUUUCUCUUUUACUGGUGCUUAGCGCAGUGUCUUGGGCACUCUAAAUAUUGAAUGUUAUGGAGGACACAGAGGUAGCAGAAUUCCCAGUUGAAAAUGUUUUCAUAUUUUAUUGUUUGGCCUAUUGAUUCUAGACCUGGCCUGAAGUCUGCAAAAGCCAUCUUUAUAAGGUAGGCUGUUCCAGUUAAGUAGUGGGUGAUGUAGUUACAAAGAUAAUAUGCUCAGUUUGGACCUUUUUUUCAGUUAAAUGCUAAAUAUGUGAAAAUUGCUAUACCUCUAAGUAUUUUCAUGAAAUUCACCAGCAGUUUGCAAGCACAGUUUUGCAAGGCUGCACAAGAACUGGUGAAUGGGGUAAGCAUUUUCAUUCUUCCUGCUGAAGUAACGCAGAAAGUACUGCAUAGUAUAUAAGAUAUAGCCAGCUAGCUAAAGUUCAGAUUUCAUUAGGUUCAACCCUAUGAAAAAAACUAUUUUCAUAGGUCAAAAAUUGUAAAAAAAAAAUUAGCAGUUUCAUAAGAUUCAACCAAAUAAGUAUAUAUAUACACACACACAUACAUAUACACCUAUAUAUGUGUGUAUACAAACAGUUUGAAUGUAUUUUGGUAACAGUAAUAAAUCAAUGUGAGGAUGGAUAGGAUUUAGUAUAUGAUAGAGAAAAUGUCAUAAAUGGAUAAAAGGAAUUUACAACUUGAGGAGAAAACCUUUACAAUUUCCUAUGGGUGUCAGAAGUACUCUCAGCAAAAACUGAUAGCUAAAACAGUAUCUACUAUUCUCUGAUAACUUUUUUUUUGAGACAGAGUUUCGUUGUCACCCAGGCUGGAGUGCAGUGGCGUGAUCUCAGCUCACUGCAACCUCCGCCUCCCGAGUUCAAGUGAUUCUCCUGCCUCAGCCUCCUAAGUAGCUGGGAUUACAGGCGCCCAUCACCACACCCGGCUAAUUUUUGUAUUUUUAGUAGAGACGGAGUUUUGCCAUGUUGGCCAAGCUGGUCUCAAACUCCUGACCUCAAGUGAUCUGCCCGCCUCUGUCUCCCAAAGUGCUGAGAUUACAGGCGUGACCCACCGCGUGAAGCCUCUGACAACUAUUGAAUUUGUAAGCUGCUAUGCAAAUAGGCAUUUAUAUAAACUUGUAGUGUUUCUUGUCAGAAUUCUGAGUACUUUGUGAAGAACAGAAAUGAUCAUGUUCUUAUGCAUCUAUCUGUAUGGGUCUGAAGGUGUAUAUACAAAUUGAGAUGAGUCCUUAUGACUCUUGAUAAGCCUGAGUUUAACAACAACAACAAAAAUGCCAAGUUGUCCUGAGCCCUUCUGCAUUGUUAUGCCACUUCCCUACUGCUCAUAUGCACGCUGGCUCCCCUGGGCACGCAAGGAUGAGUAUGGGCCACGGGCCCCUGUAGAGCUGCUUACCUGGUGGUGACCAUGCACCUUACAAUUUCUGAACAGUUAACCCUAUAGAAGCAUGCUUUAUAUGAGUGUCUUCUGGGAAGAGGAACCUUCUUAAUCUCUUCUGUGGGAUUUUCAAAAUGCUAAAGACUCACACUGCAGCAAUCAUCCCAGAUGAUUAAAUUCAAAGAAAUAGGUUCACAACAGGAAUAUACUGAAGAACUAGAGUGUCGCUGCUGGUGAACUGUGGCACAGUUGCUCAACACAUCACCUCGGGCAAAUUCAGGAAGCAUUUCUUUAGCCCACAAGGCCAGACCCAGGUGCUCUGUGUGUUUGUUUUUAAUGUUCUUCAUCAUAUCCAAGUUCACUCUGUCUUCCUGAGCAGUGGAAGAUCAUAUUGCUGUAACUUCUUUUAAGUAGUUGAUGUGGAAAACAUUUUAAAGUGAAUUUGUC
RNAcentral lists this small RNA (3490 nucleotides) under Pongo abelii (Sumatran orangutan). Its description in RNAcentral is "processed transcript". The record is from RNAcentral. Lineage: Eukaryota; Metazoa; Chordata; Mammalia; Primates; Hominidae.